This 672-nucleotide long non-coding RNA is filed under the name Coffea arabica (coffee). RNAcentral describes it as "long non-coding RNA (CARA_LNC002252)". Lineage: Eukaryota; Viridiplantae; Streptophyta; Magnoliopsida; Gentianales; Rubiaceae. The record is from RNAcentral.
GAAAAAAAAAAAAAAAAAGCACAGUCGGAAGAUGGACCUCUGCUCUUACCUACCACCGUAAUAUAAUGGAUUAGGAUUCCCAGCAGCAAUUACUUUAGGGGCAGCUUCAGAGCUUUGCCAAGUUUAUUUGCUACAAAUUUUUUAAAAACUUUAAUUAUAGUAAUCUCAAAAAUUUCUCAAAAUUUUUAAACUACACACUUCAAAAUAUUCAAAAAUUUACGCACUUCAAAAUUUUUUUAAAAAACUUCUAUAGUAAGAUACAGUAAAGUUUUAGACAAAGACUCAAAAAACUCACUUACCAAACCGGGGCAACAUUCGUAGCAGCACUUUUGUGAAGAGAAUAAAUGUUUGUUUAAUUCCAACGGCACCACUCGUGACUUCUUGAGGCAGCAACAAUUGACACCAGCUGAGCUGGGCUGAAGAAUUGCACGCUUCGAUGGGCCUUCUGUCCAUUUUCCCAACGUCAGUCAAAUCCAUGGGCCAUGGACACCAGCAACAAUUGACUUUUCUAUUUGAACUUUGGUCUACUCUUCCUUCUAACCCAAAAAAAAAAAAAAAAAAAAAUUUUUGGCCUACUCUAAACCAAAAUGUUUACUCUUGACUACAGGCAGUCACGAGGGUAAGAAAUUAAUUGACAAAGGAAACAACGGACUCAGAAAAAUUGUUUUGACA